This 250-nucleotide ribosomal RNA is filed under the name uncultured bacterium. RNAcentral's name for it is "partial 16S ribosomal RNA". It matches the Rfam family "Bacterial small subunit ribosomal RNA", at positions 524 to 773 of the family's 1533-position model. The record is from RNAcentral.
UACAGAGAGUGCAAGCGUUAAUCGGAAUUACUGGGCGUAAAGCGCGCGUAGGUGGAUAACUAAGUCAGAUGUGAAAGCCCUGGGCUUAACCUAGGAAUUGCAUCUGAUACUGGUCAUCUAGAGUAUGGUAGAGGGAAGUGGAAUUUCCGGAGUAGCGGUGAAAUGCGUAGAUAUCGGAAAGAACACCAGUGGCGAAAGCGGCUUCCUGGACCAAUACUGACACUGAGGCGCGAAAGCGUGGGGAGCAAAC